GAUGAACGCUGGCGGCGCGCCUAACACAUGCAAGUCGAACGAUUAAAGCACCUUCGGGUGUGUAUAAAGUGGCGAACGGCUGAGUAACACGUGGGCAACCUGCCCCUUUCAUUGGGAUAGCCACGGGAAACCGUGGAUAAUACCGAAUACUUCGAGACUUCCGCAUGGAAGACUCGAGAAAGCUCCGGCGGAGAGGGAUGGGCCCGCGGCCUGUUAGCUUGUUGGUGGGGUAACGGCCUACCAAGGCAAUGAUGGGUAGCUGGGUUGAGAGACCGACCAGCCAGAUUGGGACUGAGACGCGGCCCAGACUCCUACGGGAGGCAGCAGUGGGGAAUCUUGAACAAUGGGCGAAAGCCUGAUGCAGCGACGCCGCGUGCGGGAUGAAGGCCUUCGGGUUGUAAACCGCUUUCAGCAGGGACGAGGCGAAAGUGACGGUACCUGCAGAAGAAGCCCCGGCUAACUACGUG
RNAcentral lists this ribosomal RNA (467 nucleotides) under uncultured bacterium. Its description in RNAcentral is "partial 16S ribosomal RNA". It matches the Rfam family "Bacterial small subunit ribosomal RNA", at positions 28 to 507 of the family's 1533-position model. The record is from RNAcentral.